This is a non-coding RNA of Camellia sinensis, 833 nucleotides long. The record is from RefSeq and is a predicted model, not a curated record. Lineage: Eukaryota; Viridiplantae; Streptophyta; Magnoliopsida; Ericales; Theaceae.
GGCCACAGCAGCCAGGUAACUGCUGCAGACUUUCAUAUCUGUGCACUUACUUGUGACUGUGAAGCAAAGUUCCCCAUCUCCUGGGUAUUAAAGUAUCGUGAAGUAUAUAUACCUAAGACCUUGUAAUGAUUGCAUGUGCACGUGUGCUACAUCCGUUUAAAGAGAGAAAAAAGAAAACGAAAAAAAGAACAAAUUGAUGAUAUCCCAACAGCUGUGUGGGGGUUAAUGUUGAGAUUAGAGAGAGAGAGUUUAUGCGCUGAUGGAGGUUGGCCAUGGCCCUCAUGGCUGCAGUGGUCUCCAGUGUGUGCUAAAAGGAGCAUGGUUAGAGUAGUAUCUGACUAUUUCAGAAAUGUGAAAGCUUUCUAGUCCGUUGGAAACAUUUCUGGAUAAUUGAACUCAUUUAUGCUUCAGCAAGAAUGAUAUAACUUGCUGUAGAAAUACUCUAAAAUGGCAUGAAGUAUUCCCAGAGAGAGCUUCUGACCAUAUCCAAAUAUGGUACAUCCUAAUCAAAGGCCUUUGGGGUGGUGCCAAUGUUCAACAACAAAAGUCGAGUGCAGUACUCCAGGCAGCUCUUAAGCUACCAGUAAAACCUAGCCUGUUCAAUGUUAGUCCAAGUAUAACAGAGGUCUGAAUUCUGGACAGGGCUGCUAUAUUACAGCUGAUCAACAACUUGAAGGCCGGCUAGAGUCAAGGAUUUCUUGUGGACGAUCCAACUAUUUGAGAGACAAGAAACCGUAAACUCCAAGAAAUUUUCAAAUAACUGAAAAAUAAAGAAAAAAUUAAAAAAACCCAAAGAAGGUUUAGAAUGGAAAAAAAAAAGAAAAAAGUAAGUG